CCACAUAAGGGCCAUCAGCCCUUUACAGAACUCAGCCAUAUAAGAAUACCAUAUAAGGUCCAUAUAUCAGCCACAUCUGUUUUUAUUAUUUGGCUCACUCUGGGUUGGGUUAUGGCACUGUUUAGGUUCAGUUCUGGCUAAAAAUAUGUGGACCAGUUUUGGGCCGGC
This is a long non-coding RNA of Sinocyclocheilus anshuiensis, 168 nucleotides long. RefSeq lists it as uncharacterized. NCBI's taxonomy places the organism in Eukaryota, Metazoa, Chordata, Actinopteri, Cypriniformes, Cyprinidae. The record is from RefSeq and is a predicted model, not a curated record. The transcript has 2 exons.